CCCGAAUAUCAAGGCGUUAAGUUUCUUCUGGAUGCAGUUACAGUCACAGCUUUCAAGCCAGCAGCUGUCGAUGUAUUUCGAUUCUCUCCUCUCCAUGUUACCUGACCUGCUGCCUGUGAACAUCCUGCACAUAGAACCUUUAUCCUAAUCGAUGUAAUUAAACCUGCCAAUCAAAAAGACAGCCUGGUACAGCACUUGUCAUUAGAUUGACUCCAUGCAAGCCUUUGAAGAUCAUUUAUACAUACAAUUUAAGCAUGAUAGUCAAUAAGUGCCUGCGUUGGCUUCUUAAAAGACUCGCAGUCCUGAGCAUUUACGAUGGAAUUCCUCAUCUUAAAAUAUUGGGAAGGCAGGAAAACACCUGUCACUGACAAAAA
Dreissena polymorpha is the source of this 374-nucleotide long non-coding RNA. RefSeq lists it as uncharacterized. The transcript is spliced from 2 exons. NCBI's taxonomy places the organism in Eukaryota, Metazoa, Mollusca, Bivalvia, Myida, Dreissenidae. The record is from RefSeq and is a predicted model, not a curated record.